This 28-nucleotide small RNA is filed under the name Bombyx mori (domestic silkworm). Its description in RNAcentral is "ovarian small RNA-29305". The record is from RNAcentral. Lineage: Eukaryota; Metazoa; Arthropoda; Insecta; Lepidoptera; Bombycidae.
UCGUGCAGAGAGCGAACUAGCGCUACAU